GAUGAACGCUAGCGGCAGGCUUAACACAUGCAAGUCGAGGGGUAUUGGUUUUCGGACCAAGAGACCGGCGCACGGGUGCGUAACGCGUAUGCAAUCUACCUUUUGCAGAGGGAUAGCCCCAGAGAAAUUUGGAUUAAUACCUCAUAGUAUAGUACUUUGGCAUCAAGGAACUAUUAAAGUCACAACGGCAAAAGAUGAGCAUGCGUCCCAUUAGCUAGUUGGUAAGGUAACGGCUUACCAAGGCUACGAUGGGUAGGGGUCCUGAGAGGGAGAUCCCCCACACUGGUACUGAGACACGGACCAGACUCCUACGGGAGGCAGCAGUGAGGAAUAUUGGACAAUGGGCGCAAGCCUGAUCCAGCCAUGCCGCGUGCAGGAUGACGGUCCUAUGGAUUGUAAACUGCUUUAUACAGGAAGAAACACUCCGACGUGUCGAGCUUGACGGUACUGUAAGAAUAAAGGAUC
This 465-nucleotide ribosomal RNA is filed under the name uncultured bacterium. RNAcentral describes it as "bacterial SSU rRNA". It matches the Rfam family "Bacterial small subunit ribosomal RNA", at positions 28 to 494 of the family's 1533-position model. The record is from RNAcentral.